This 449-nucleotide ribosomal RNA is filed under the name uncultured bacterium. RNAcentral describes it as "partial 16S ribosomal RNA". It matches the Rfam family "Bacterial small subunit ribosomal RNA", at positions 29 to 523 of the family's 1533-position model. The record is from RNAcentral.
AGCGAACGCUGGCGGCAUGCCUAACACAUGCAAGUCGAACGAGAUCUUCGGGUCUAGUGGCGCACGGGCGCGUAACGCGUGGGAAUCUGCCCUUUGGUUCGGAAUAACAGUUGGAAACGACUGCUAAUACCGGAUGAUGACGAAAGUCCAAAGAUUUAUCGCCAGAGGAUGAGCCCGCGUAGGAUUAGCUAGUUGGUGUGGUAAAGGCGCACCAAGGCGACGAUCCUUAGCUGGUCUGAGAGGAUGAUCAGCCACACUGGGACUGAGACGCGGCCCAGACUCCUACGGGAGGCAGCAGUGGGGAAUAUUGGACAAUGGGCGAAAGCCUGAUCCAGCGAUGCCGCGUGAGUGAUGAAGGCCUUAGGGUUGUAAAGCUCUUUUACCCGGGAUGAUAAUGACAGUACCGGGAGAAUAAGCUCCGGCUAACUCCGUGCCAGCAGCCGCGGUAA